GAUGAACGCUGGCGGCGUGCCUAACACAUGCAAGUCGAGCGAUUCUCUUCGGAGAAGAGCGGCGGACGGGUGAGUAACGCGUGGGUAACCUGCCUCACACAGGGGGAUAACAGUUAGAAAUGACUGCUAAUACCGCAUAUGCACACAGUACCGCAUGGUACAGGGUGGAAAGAUUUAUCGGUGUGAGAUGGACCCGCGUUGGAUUAGCUAGUUAGCAGGGUAACGACCUACCAAGGCGACGAUCCAUAGCCGGCCUGAGAGGGUGAACGGCCACAUUGGGACUGAGACACGGCCCAA
Molecule: ribosomal RNA, 297 nt
Filed under: uncultured bacterium
Lineage: Bacteria
Description: partial 16S ribosomal RNA
Rfam family: Bacterial small subunit ribosomal RNA
Source: RNAcentral